UUUCGGGUUGAUCCUGCCGCCGGCCACCGCUAUCAAGUUCCGACUAAGCCAUGCGAGUCAAGGUAUCGUAAGAUGCCGGCAAACUGCUCAGUAACACGUGGAUAAUCUAACCUUGAGUAAGGGAUAACCUCGGGAAACUGAGGAUAAUACCUUAUAAUUGCUUAAAACUGGAAUGUUUAAGCAAUAAAAGUUCCGACGCUCAAGGAUGAGUCUGCGACCUAUCAGGUAGUAGGUGGUGUAAUGGACCACCUAGCCUCAGACGGGUACGGGCCCUGGGAGGGGUAGCCCGGAGAUGGACUCUGAGACAUCAGUCCAGGCCCUACGGGGCGCAGCAGGCGCGAACACUGUGCAAUGCGCGAAAGCGCGACACGGGGAGCUUGAGUGUCUUGGCAUAGCCAAGACUUUUCUCAUUCCUAAAAAGCAUGAGGAAUAAGUGCUGGGUAAGACGGGUGCCAGCCGCCGCGGUAACACCCGCAGCACAAGUGGUGGUCACUUUUAUUGAGCCUAAAGCGUUCGUAGCCGGUUUUGUAAAUCUUUAGAUAAAGCCUGAAGCUUAACUCCAGAAAGUCUAAAGAGACUGCAAGACUUGAGAUCGGGUGAGGUUAAACGUACUUUCGGGGUAGGGGUAAAAUCCUGUAAUCCUGGAAGGACGACCAGUGGCGAAAGCGUUUAACUAGAACGAAUCUGACGGUAAGGAACGAAGGCUAGGGUAGCAAACCGGAUUAGAUACCCGGGUAGUCCUAGCUGUAAACAUUGCCCAUUUGAUGUUGCUUUUCCGUUGAGGGAAGGCAGUGUCGGAGCGAAGGUGUUAAAUGGGCCGCUUGGGAAGUAUGGUCGCAAGACUGAAACUUAAAGGAAUUGGCGGGGGAGCACCGCAACGGGAGGAAUGUGCGGUUUAAUUGGAUUCAACGCCGGA
RNAcentral lists this ribosomal RNA (916 nucleotides) under uncultured archaeon. RNAcentral describes it as "bacterial SSU rRNA". It matches the Rfam family "Archaeal small subunit ribosomal RNA", at positions 1 to 922 of the family's 1478-position model. The record is from RNAcentral.